RNAcentral lists this small nucleolar RNA (104 nucleotides) under Yarrowia lipolytica CLIB122. Its description in RNAcentral is "small nucleolar RNA SNORD14". Lineage: Eukaryota; Fungi; Ascomycota; Dipodascomycetes; Dipodascales. The record is from RNAcentral.
UGAUGAAAUUUUCAUUUUAAACGAUCGCAGUUUCCUCGGUAGCAUACGUAUAGAACCCAUCUAGUAUGCCAGUGACCGUUGUAUGACCUUUCUUGGAUGUCUGA